This 323-nucleotide long non-coding RNA is filed under the name Ixodes scapularis (black-legged tick). RNAcentral describes it as "uncharacterized LOC121835135". Lineage: Eukaryota; Metazoa; Arthropoda; Arachnida; Ixodida; Ixodidae. The record is from RNAcentral.
GACGCCAAGAGUGCAAGUAGCUCAAGCCAAGCAAGGUCGAAGCCAGGUUGACCACGUGACCGUAUGUCAACGGACCGUCAAGGCCUGUUUCAUCGGACCGCUCUGCCGAUCUCUCGGCGUGGAGGAAACGUAAACAAAGGAGCUGUGCGCACCUGCUUUAAACAGAAGGCAGAAAACAAUGAGCCAGCCAUCAUCGUGCAGGAAGCCGACGCCAAAUGGGCUGCUGCUGAAUCGGUCAGGCAUGCACCAGCUAGGACCAAGAAAAUGGAGCAGUGUGCCUCUUCUCAGGAGUGACUGAGGGGCUGCCACAAGGGGAGAAGGCA